UAAGCGGAGGAAAAGAAACUAACAAGGAUUCCCCUAGUAGCGGCGAGCGAAGCGGGAAGAGCUCAAAUUUGUAAUCUGGCGUCCUCAGGGCGUCCGAGUUGUAAUCUAUAGAGACGUUUUCCGUGCCGGACCGUGUCCAAGUCCCUUGGAACAGGGUAUCAAAGAGGGUGACAAUCCCGUACUUGACACGACGACCGGUGCUCUGUGAUACGUUUUCUACGAGUCGAGUUGUUUGGGAAUGCAGCUCAAAAUGGGUGGUAAAUUCCAUCUAAAGCUAAAUAUAGGCGAGAGACCGAUAGCGAACAAGUACCGUGAGGGAAAGAUGAAAAGCACUUUGGAAAGAGAGUUAAACAGUAUGUGAAAUUGUUGAAAGGGAAACGAUUGAAGUCAGUCAUGUCCAUUGGAUUCAGCUGGUUCUGCCAGUGUAUUUCCUUUGGACGGGUCAACAUCAGUUUGAGCCGGCGGAUAAUGGCAGAGGGAAUGUGGCACCCCCGGGUGUGUUAUAGCCCUUUGUCGCAUACGUCGGCCCAGACUGAGGAAUGCAGCUCGCCUUUAUGGCCGGGGUUCGCCCACGUACGAGCUUAGGAUGUUGGCAUAAUGGCUUUAAACGACCCGUCUUGAAACACG
RNAcentral lists this ribosomal RNA (627 nucleotides) under Saitozyma flava. Its description in RNAcentral is "eukaryotic LSU rRNA". It matches the Rfam family "Eukaryotic large subunit ribosomal RNA", at positions 47 to 663 of the family's 3401-position model. Lineage: Eukaryota; Fungi; Basidiomycota; Tremellomycetes; Tremellales; Trimorphomycetaceae. The record is from RNAcentral.